Molecule: ribosomal RNA, 433 nt
Filed under: uncultured bacterium
Lineage: Bacteria
Description: partial 16S ribosomal RNA
Rfam family: Bacterial small subunit ribosomal RNA
Source: RNAcentral
AACGAACGCUGGCGGCAUGCCUAACACAUGCAAGUCGAACGAGACCUUCGGGUCUAGUGGCGCACGGGUGCGUAACGCGUGGGAACCUGCCCUUAGGUUCGGAAUAACUCCCCGAAAGGGGUGCUAAUACCGGAAAAUGUCUUCGGACCAAAGAUUUAUCGCCUUUGGAUGGGCCCGCGUUGCAUUAGCUAGUUGGUAGGGUAAAAGCCUACCAAGGCGACGAUCCAUAGCUGGUCUGAGAGGAUGAUCAGCCACACUGGGACUGAGACACGGCCCAGACUCCUACGGGAGGCAGCAGUGGGGAAUAUUGGACAAUGGGCGAAAGCCUGAUCCAGCAAUGCCGCGUGAGUGAUGAAGGCCUUAGGGUUGUAAAGCUCUUUUACCCGGGAUGAUAAUGACGGUACCGGGAGAAUAAGCUCCGGCUAACUCCGUG